This is a long non-coding RNA of Protopterus annectens (West African lungfish), 1206 nucleotides long. RefSeq lists it as uncharacterized. NCBI's taxonomy places the organism in Eukaryota, Metazoa, Chordata, Ceratodontiformes, Protopteridae. The transcript has 6 exons. The record is from RefSeq and is a predicted model, not a curated record.
CGCAGUGUGAAUAGUAAUCUUUGCUCGCCUGUAAAAGCUCGACAUUUUUAUAUGUGGUGUAUUUUCCAAAUAAUUUAAGAUAUAAAUAUUGAAGCGAAGGUGGUAGUAGACCUGUCCACAGUCUAAUUAAAGUUCAGCUUCUUUGGUACAUGUAGGCGGUAAAGCACCGCACCGGGACUUAUCUUAUGCAAAUUGUUUCAGCAGGUUGGUCGGAUGUUUGUUAGUAACUGUUUGGCAGGUUUCCCAAGUAGCGAUUGACCGAGUAGAACUGCUGUUUCUUCUUACGGGUAAAAAAAAGUUUCUGUCUCAAGCAGCAUCAUCUAAUAAAUAAAGGUUUUAAGGAUGGCUUUGAGGAAAAAUGAAAAUAAGGGGCAUUAAAUUCAGGGAUGUAAAAAUUAUUCAAAGUGAAUGGCGAGGACCAGCCUAUCUGUUUCUGCUUUAAAAAGCUCCUGAUGCUGUCAUACCUACUUAAUCUGAUUUGCACCACUUGGAACAUGGCCCUUGCAAGAAGUGCAGAGUGCAUAUUAAUCUCCUCUUCACUUCGAAGUAACUAUAACUGUAUUCACUAAUGUAAUGGACUGUCAUGACUAGAAGACCAUGUCUUUUGACAUUCCCAAACAGACCUGUCUAUGUUAUGAUGCUGUUUACAGUGAUAAAAGUGAGACUUAUUUAGAGCCAAACAAAAUCUUGCCAUUAGGAAAUGGACUGGGAAAAUUACACUUUUGGAAGGCCACUAGAGUAGUAAAUGUGUGCUGUUUAACAAAAGAAGAUGGAAAGCCAUGGUACAUCCAUAUACCCAUAUACUAAAAAAAUGUGAUGGAAAAGUUGGUGUGGUCAGAAUAAUGAUAUGGAUAGGAGCUGGAAGUAGGAUGCCUAUAAAGGUACGCACUAGUGGAAAUUAAUCCUAUCAGGACUCUGCUAUCAAUGAAUAGAGUCAACAAGGUUGCAGUCCCAACUGUCUGCUGAUUAUUGAAGCUUAUUCAAGUCUGGCAGACCCAAGCACAUGUAUCCGGGAUCACCACUGUGCCACUGUUCUUUCAGAGAACCCUUUGGUUUAAAACUGGCUUAUUUUCCGAAGAUAGAGAGCAGAUUGGUCCUUUGCGUACCGGAAUCCCUCAGAAGCUGCGGAUCAGAGCAUAGCGGUGGUCGAAGUCUGCAUGCAGGAGAAGAUACCGAAAUGGUUCUUCUUGAGUGAAAAGACCUCCG